RNAcentral lists this long non-coding RNA (1347 nucleotides) under Chloebia gouldiae (Gouldian finch). RNAcentral's name for it is "Erythrura gouldiae (Gouldian finch) lncRNA (ENSEGOG00005013103.1)". The record is from RNAcentral. Lineage: Eukaryota; Metazoa; Chordata; Aves; Passeriformes; Passeridae.
AUGCCGGUUACCGAUGCGGGUGGGCUCGUGGCCCGGCGGGCAGCGCGGCAGCGCCCGGCAGAACUGGCAGGGCUCGUCGGCGCAGCUGUGCCCCGGGGGACAUUUGCAGUCGCGGUGCUGCGCCGCCCCGCAGGGCGCCGGGCUUCCUGCGGGAAUUCCAGAGGGGUUCCCCUUCCCAUUCCAAAGGGAUUCCCGCUCCCCAGGAAUUCCCAUUCCCAGGGCAAAGGCAGAGCAGGAGGUGGAGCUUCCAGACACGGGGAAGGCUCUGGAGCAGUGGGAUCCCAAAAUUCUCCCUCCCAUCCCCGGGAACGAGAGCUUUCCUGGGAAAAGGAUCCCAAAUUUCUCCCUCCCAUCCCCGGGAACGAGAGACACAAUUUACACAUAAUUUACACACAUUUAGACUCAAUUUAUACACAUUUACACACAGUUUGCACAAAAUUCACCCCCAUUUACACACAAUUUCCACACAAUUCUCCCAUUUACACACAAUUCACCCCCAUUUACACAGAAGUUACACCCAAUUCCCCACACUUUACCCACAAUUUACACACAUCACAUACCCUUAAACACAAUUCCCCUAAUUUACCCACAAUUUACACUCAUCACACACAAUUUACACACAUCACAUACAAUUACACACAUCUCACACAAUUUAUCCCCAUUUCCCCACAAUUACACAAAAUUUACACACACCACACACAACUACACAAAAUUUACCCACAAUUUACCCACAUUUCCCCACAAUUUACACAUAUCACAUACAAUUACACACAAUUCACCCCAUUUCCCUACACUUUACCCACAGUUUCCACACAUCACGUACAAUUACACAGAAGUUACACACAAUUUACACACAUCAGACACAAUUACGUACAAUUACACACAAUUUACCCCCAUUUACCCACACUUUGCCACAGCACGCACAGCUACCCACACGCGACCCCGCUGCCCCGUUCCUGCACUCACGUCCCCUCCAGGUGCACCUGGGGCAGCACUUGGUGCCCCCUCCCCACACGGGCCGGAGCUCCCCGUCCUGGCAGCGCCCAGCGGCGCCCGGCGGCGCCCAGCGCCCGGCCAGCAGCGCCAGCAGCGCCAGCAGCCACGGCCGAGGCAUGGCCGGGCAGGGCCGCCCUGCUGGCACCGCCACCUGUCCGUGCAGGGUCACUCCGCUGGCACCGCCACCCCUGGCAGUGCCACCCGGUCCUGGCAGUGCCACCCGGCCCUGGCAGUGCCACCCGGUCCUGCAGUGCCACCCGGCCCUGCAGAGGCUCUGGAGGAGCUGCCGGGGUUUUUGUGGCCGAGCUCUUCCUGUGCUGCGUUUGUUGGGGUGGGAGGAGCUGGGCUUAA